Sinocyclocheilus grahami is the source of this 150-nucleotide long non-coding RNA. RefSeq lists it as uncharacterized. The record is from RefSeq and is a predicted model, not a curated record. NCBI's taxonomy places the organism in Eukaryota, Metazoa, Chordata, Actinopteri, Cypriniformes, Cyprinidae. The transcript has 3 exons.
GACAGCAGGGGCCUUUGAUUUUUACAGAGCCUGACGUGCCUUGCAUCAGGAGGUGGUGGUGUCUGCUGCUUUUGGAGAAUUUCCCCUUGAGGUCUGAUGAAGAAAGACGGGCAACAAAAAGACAAAUGAGGCAUACUGAAAAGAAUGUAU